Molecule: non-coding RNA, 1102 nt
Organism: Musa acuminata subsp. malaccensis (wild Malaysian banana)
Lineage: Eukaryota; Viridiplantae; Streptophyta; Magnoliopsida; Zingiberales; Musaceae
Source: RefSeq, a predicted model, not a curated record
GAGCGGUGAGGAAGGAGGAGUGAUUGGUCUUGGAUCCCACUCCAAGUCCUGUAUCUCACAUCAGGGAAAAUUAUGGGGUCGCACCACUCAUACAUUAUAAGGAAACUAAAUUCCUAUUCAUUCAAGAGUCGAUCAUCUACAUCUGCUCAAGCUCGACCAUUAUGGAGUAUAUUUGCAACUUCAACUUCUCAUUAACACAUGCGAGUUGGACGAUUUAAGGCUUUCCUCUUUGACCGAAUUGAUAUUCUGAUUCCACCAAUCAAAAUAUCAUAAGAAUUUCCAAAUGAAGAGAAAUGCUUGCAAGGUGAAAUUGGCAAAGAAAUAUAGGUUAUUGCAUCAGAAGGAUAUGACAGGGACUCAACUGUCAAGUUUGAAAGGAAGCAUAACAGGCCUGAAAGGUAUGAUAGGAACAUCACAUAGAUGGCAACGGAGGCUAUAAAGAAAGUUGCCAAAAUCAUAGUUGCUAAGGAGGCUAGGCAUGAUUGACAGAAAUUAAGGAGUUGGAGAAACAGUAGUGAUUUGGACGAAGCACCUGCUGCCCUGCAACAUGGUUCACAAAUUACUCUUCCGAAGAGUAAAGUUAAGGUUUCUCAAUCUCAGCUUGGAGGGGAGAGCAUGGAAGGAUAAUGGGGAGUCGGGAGGUAAAUUUGCAGCCGUAUGUACAGCGACGACAACAGCUUGUUCAUACAGUUGCUCGUCGUGGAGUUUGUGGGCUCAGAGUUCGAUGCUGUUUCAACUUCCACACAAUCCAAAUUCUCAAUAAACACAAACCCAGAUCGACAAUCAAGUUGGUGUUGAUCCAAACUAGUUGACAAACAGGAAUUAGAUGAAGACUCGGAACUUAUGAUGGUGAUGUUGGUGCUGUGUGUCCCUUUCCAAUCUGUAUCAGCAUUGAAGAUGGAGGCGCCUCCCCCAGAAAUGUCUGCUUUUCCACCCACCUUAUUCUUUCAACUGCUCACGUCCGAUUUCACUCAGUCGUCAAUAAGUUGUCGUCGUUGUGAAUCAAAGUCAAAUCAUUUUUGUUCAACCUUCAUUCAUUUGAUACUGAAAAAGAGAUUUUUGUUAGUAUCGCGGAGCAAUAUUAUCGUCGGUCACAAAUUAA